AAAGCCACCACACCCCAAUCCCACCCCCAAACCAAACCAGCCAGCCAAAAACAAGACCACCAAAAGCCUUGGCAGCCUGUAAGCAAUUCCUGUGAGCAGGUCCUGGGUGAAGCGAGGUUUUGGCAGAGAGGUCUCUAAACACAUUGAUCUUUUUACAUACACACUGUGUUGAUAAGAAAAGCAUGCUUAGAUUAAAUUGAAGAUUUAAGUAGUUGAAAGACUGUCAUUUUAAGGGAAAAUGUGCUUUUGUGCUCAUGCGGAAAUAAGUAUACAAACCAUGUGACUGUGACUCACUGCACAUUGCAGCAGUGCUAAAGUGAAAGAAGAUGGGAGGGGUGGUGGGGUGAAUGAUGGGUGACCAGUCUCAAGAAACUCUGAUAUAUCAGGUGAUACAAUCCCAGCCUGCUGAAGACUUGUGGAGAGAAGCAGAGCUGUGAGAAAGAGGCCACAGAGGUGGGCUAACGGUACUGCUGGAGAACUGAGAGGGAGAGGUGGUGGCUGCUGCUCCUGUAACUGCCUCCCCACGUCCUCUGCCCAGGUUAGGGGCUGCCCCACAGGCACCAAGUGCAUCAGCUAGCCUGGCUUCCCAGAGCUGCAGCACAGCCAAACCAGGCAGAGCCCUUUUGCUUCUCUCACCAGCCUAGUGAAUGCUUCGCAGAUACCUAG
This is a long non-coding RNA of Oxyura jamaicensis (ruddy duck), 666 nucleotides long. RefSeq lists it as uncharacterized. The record is from RefSeq and is a predicted model, not a curated record. Lineage: Eukaryota; Metazoa; Chordata; Aves; Anseriformes; Anatidae. The transcript has 3 exons.